UUUAAGCUAGUAAACUGAACCAUCUAAGUAACUAGAAAACAAAUCAACCGAGAGACUGUGAGUAGUGGCGAACAAAAGCAGAAUAGAUUAUGCUUAAAAAUUAAAUACUGUAUAUUUAAUAGUAAAAACCAAAGAAGGUAAUAAGAGUCCUGUAAAGUAUACUUCAAAUUUUUAAGAUAUAAAGUAAAAUGAUACAUGUGAUGUAUUUUUUCAACAUUGGGGUACCACCCUCAAAAUCUACAAAGUAUUAAUGUUUGAUAGUAAAUAAGUACCGUGAGGGAAAGGUGAAAA
RNAcentral lists this ribosomal RNA (291 nucleotides) under uncultured Thalassiosira. Its description in RNAcentral is "partial Bacterial large subunit ribosomal RNA". It matches the Rfam family "Bacterial large subunit ribosomal RNA", at positions 179 to 520 of the family's 2925-position model. Lineage: Eukaryota; Bacillariophyta; Thalassiosirophyceae; Thalassiosirales; Thalassiosiraceae. The record is from RNAcentral.